GAUGGAGCUGAAUCCCGUCCCUGAUACUUUGUAGAUUAUUUUUUUAUGGAGUUUGAUAUGUAUAUAUUUUUUAUAUUUUCAAAGUACAUUGUAAUUCAUAACUUUUUAUGUAAAUUUAAUCAGAUAUGACAAUAUAAAUAUUUCGAAUGAUCUGAAUAUUUGUAUCAAUAUCAAUGUAAUUUGAAUGUUUGGUUCAUAUUGUAUAAUGUGUGUUUUAUGAUAUAUGUAAAUUUAUACAGUUUGAUAUUUUUAAUUUUUU
Molecule: long non-coding RNA, 259 nt
Filed under: Phoenix dactylifera (date palm)
Lineage: Eukaryota; Viridiplantae; Streptophyta; Magnoliopsida; Arecales; Arecaceae
Description: long non-coding RNA (PDAC_LNC004988)
Source: RNAcentral